RNAcentral lists this ribosomal RNA (800 nucleotides) under Tegonotus sp. 18sr66. RNAcentral's name for it is "partial 18S ribosomal RNA". It matches the Rfam family "Eukaryotic small subunit ribosomal RNA", at positions 389 to 910 of the family's 1831-position model. The record is from RNAcentral. Lineage: Eukaryota; Metazoa; Arthropoda; Arachnida; Trombidiformes; Eriophyidae. RNAcentral also lists the same sequence under 1 other name.
ACAAGCCUGAGAAACGGCUAGUAGGACUAAGGUCUGCAGCAGGCGCGAAACUUACACAAUGCUAGAUUAAGACAUAGCGAUGUAGUGAAGAAAAAUAACGAUGUACUUACAUUUAAACAUGUUAGUACAAUUGGAAUGAGACGACUCUAAACCAGUCAGUCGAGUAACAAAUGGAGGGCAAGUCUGGUGCCAGCAGCCGCGGUAAUUCCAGCUCCAUUAGCAUACAUUAAAGUUGUUGCGGUUAAAAAGCUCGUAGUUGAAUUUUGGGCGGGCUCUAUUGGGAUGCAAUCGUUAAGGCCUCUAUCGUUGGUUAGCCCAUGUUAGUUGGCUGGUUGUAUUUUCCCUAUAGGAACCCGUUGUUUCGUCACUUAAUCGAGUGCGAAGCGGGCUGGUACUUUAAUAGACUUCGGUUUAUAAGUAACAGCAUGUUUACCUUGAGAAAAUUAGAGUGCUCACAGCAGGCAGUUGGGGUGUAAAAGCUCCUUUAUGCUUGAAUAAUGUUGCAUGGAAUAAUAGAAUACGGCCUCGGUUCUAUUCUGUUGGUCUUAUAGAACAACAAAAAAGUUGAUUAAAGCGAUCAAAAGUCCUUUUUGAGUGUGGCUUUGUACUGUUUAAGUGUACCAAAUCAAACAGGUAUCGUUGUCUGGGGCCUCAAAAUCUCAGUACCCUGCCUGUUCUGAACCUUGGUCCUUAUGCUUGCACUGUCAUCCAAAGCACUCAUAAUGUGGCUAGCUUUCUAAUCAACUGAGGCAAUGGUUAAAAGAAAUAGUCGCGGCGGCAUCAGUACUGCAUCGUGAGAG